GGUUUCGUGGUGUAGUUGGUUAUCACGUUAGUCUAACACACUGAAGGUUUCCGGUUCAAGUCCGGGUGAAGCCA
This is a transfer RNA of Ipomoea nil (Japanese morning glory), 74 nucleotides long. It matches the Rfam family "tRNA". From Rfam's summary of the family: Transfer RNA (tRNA) molecules are approximately 80 nucleotides in length. Their secondary structure includes four short double-helical elements and three loops (D, anti-codon, and T loops). Further hydrogen bonds mediate the characteristic L-shaped molecular structure. tRNAs have two regions of fundamental functional importance: the anti-codon, which is responsible for specific mRNA codon recognition, and the 3' end, to which the tRNAs corresponding amino acid is attached (by aminoacyl-tRNA synthetases). tRNAs cope with the degeneracy of the genetic code in two manners: having more than one tRNA (with a specific anti-codon) for a particular amino acid; and 'wobble' base-pairing, i.e. permitting non-standard base-pairing at the 3rd anti-codon position. NCBI's taxonomy places the organism in Eukaryota, Viridiplantae, Streptophyta, Magnoliopsida, Solanales, Convolvulaceae. The record is from Rfam.